AAGGUGUACUGUAUCUCUAAGUCUAGAUUUUUGCGAAAAUUUUGUAUGGCUUAAGUAAAUAGAAGAAUUAGUAAAUAACGGAAACCACGCAUAAAGACUCAACAACACGUUGAUAUUUAACUCGACUGACACUUUAACAAAAAUUAAAAUAACCAAAGGAGAUAACAAAAAAUUUAAAUCUAACUAGAAAGCGGUAAAUAAAAAG
This 205-nucleotide long non-coding RNA is filed under the name Lathyrus oleraceus (garden pea). RNAcentral's name for it is "Pisum sativum (pea) long non-coding RNA (PSAT_LNC029460)". Lineage: Eukaryota; Viridiplantae; Streptophyta; Magnoliopsida; Fabales; Fabaceae. The record is from RNAcentral.